CUACUGGGGUUUCUAAUCCUGUUUGCUCCCCACGCUUUCGCACCUCAGCGUCAGUAAUGGACCAGUAAGCCGCCUUCGCCACUGGUGUUCCUGCGAAUAUCUACGAAUUUCACCUCUACACUCGCAAUUCCACUUACCUCUUCCAUACUCAAGACUUCCAGUAUCAAAGGCAGUUCCGGGGUUGAGCCCCGGGAUUUCACCCCUGACUUAAAAGUCCGCCUACGUGCGCUUUACGCCCAGUAAAUCCGAACAACGCUAGCCCCCUUCGUAUUACCGCGGCUGCUGGCAC
Molecule: ribosomal RNA, 289 nt
Filed under: uncultured Pseudochrobactrum sp.
Lineage: Bacteria; Pseudomonadati; Pseudomonadota; Alphaproteobacteria; Hyphomicrobiales; Brucellaceae
Description: partial 16S ribosomal RNA
Source: RNAcentral